UUCUUUCUCACGGGUGUGAUUCUCUCGUCUAUCCAGAAAAUGUAUCUCUCGAGUGUCUAAGUUCACAUCAUACCCCUUUUUUAAAAAAAAGAUUCAUCCUCUAAUCAUCAUCUAUACCAAAAGAAAAAGAUUUAAAACAUUAAAAGUAGAGAACACUCCAUAGUCACUUGGGAGAUCAAUCUUGUUAGCGUUGCGUUGACGCACUCUAAGAUUUCCAUUACUUAAGAUGUGACAUCCCAGGU
This 242-nucleotide long non-coding RNA is filed under the name Carica papaya (papaya). RNAcentral's name for it is "long non-coding RNA (CPAP_LNC009077)". Lineage: Eukaryota; Viridiplantae; Streptophyta; Magnoliopsida; Brassicales; Caricaceae. The record is from RNAcentral.